AUGUUCUUCUUGAGUGAGGCUGAAAAGAAUCCAGUUGACAUGGAGGAAGCAGGGAAGGGUCUUGAUUGGGUUCAUUUAAAGGAGACAUACAUGGAAUAUUUGAAGCAGCUUCCUGAUAUCAGCUCCAGCAAGAGCAAGGCAGCAUCUCUGGCAAACCCUCAUGUGGUCCAGAAGAGCAAAGGAGUUACAAUGAAGAAGAAUCUGAAGUUGCCUCAAACCAAGCAACAGAUGCCGAGGGCAAAUGCAGAAAUAAAUGUGGACAAGGAAGCUGUGGCGCAAACUAUUGUGCCAACUGUAGUGAUCACAGAGCCAACCAACACUAAAGACGUGUCAGCAAUACCUGUUGAGCCUACAACCAUUACAUGA
RNAcentral lists this ribosomal RNA (366 nucleotides) under Triticum aestivum (bread wheat). RNAcentral's name for it is "partial small subunit ribosomal RNA". Lineage: Eukaryota; Viridiplantae; Streptophyta; Magnoliopsida; Poales; Poaceae. The record is from RNAcentral.